UACAGAGGUCUCAAGCGUUGUUCGGAUUCAUUGGGCGUAAAGGGUGCGUAGGCGGUGCAGCAAGUCGGGUGUGAAAUCCUCCAGCUCAACUGGAGAAUUGCGCCCGAAACUGCUGUGCUUGAGAAAGAUAGAGGUACGCGGAACUUAGGGUGGAGCGGUGAAAUGCGUUGAUAUCCGUAAGGAACACCGGUGGCGAAAGCGGCGUACUGGGUCUUUUCUGACGCUGAGGCACGAAAGCCAGGGUAGCGAACGGG
Molecule: ribosomal RNA, 254 nt
Filed under: uncultured bacterium
Lineage: Bacteria
Description: partial 16S ribosomal RNA
Rfam family: Bacterial small subunit ribosomal RNA
Source: RNAcentral